GACGAACGCUGGCGGCGUGCUUAACACAUGCAAGUCGAACGAUGAAGCUAGAGCUUGCUCUGGUGGAUUAGUGGCGAACGGGUGAGUAACACGUGAGUAACCUGCCCCGAACUCCGGGAUAACUGCUGGAAACGGUAGCUAAUACCGGAUAUGACCAAUGAAGGCAUCUUCUGUUGGUGGAAAGAAUUUCGGUUCGGGAUGGACUCGCGGCCUAUCAGCUUGUUGGUGAGGUAACGGCUCACCAAGGCGACGACGGGUAGCCGGCCUGAGAGGGUGAUCGGCCACACUGGGACUGAGACACGGCCCAGACUCCUACGGGAGGCAGCAGUGGGGAAUAUUGCACAAUGGGCGCAAGCCUGAUGCAGCAACGCCGCGUGAGGGACGACGGCCUUCGGGUUGUAAACCUCUUUUAGUAGGGAAGAAGCGAAAGUGACGGUACCUGCAGAAAAAGCACCGGCUAACUACGUGCCAGCCGCCGUAAGAC
This 484-nucleotide ribosomal RNA is filed under the name uncultured bacterium. RNAcentral describes it as "partial 16S ribosomal RNA". It matches the Rfam family "Bacterial small subunit ribosomal RNA", at positions 28 to 526 of the family's 1533-position model. The record is from RNAcentral.